UUCAUUAGAGAUUAUGCUAAGCCAGCAAAACCCCUGCAAAAAUUCUUCGAGUGAAAAGCCAGUUGUGUUCGAUAGUAACGCCUUGACUGCUUUCAAUAAUAUCAGAUCCGCACUGACAUCCAAAGAAGUAAUACUAUCAUAUCCCAAUUUCUAGAUGCCGUACUUCAACAAUCUGUAAAACCUAUAACAUUCAUAUCCAGAUCACUCAAUAAAACAGAGGAAAUUAAUCCUCAAAUGAAAAAGAAAUGCUGGCAAUAAUUUGGGCUCUCAUCUCUUUAAGAACCUACCUAUAUGGAUCCGUAAAAAUUGUAAUCUUCACAGAUCACCAACCACUGUCCUUUGCACUAAGUAACAAAAACCACAAUGGAAAAAUGAAAUAUUUCACAGGUACACUAUUACAAAACAAAGUUAUUCUGACCAAGACAUCAUAGACAUUUUCAAACGCUACUUCGACCCCGCACUCGUCAACGGACUGUACACCGCAGAAAGACUGAUGGGCAGAAUCCAAGAGAUAUUCCCAUUUCACUUGAGUAAUAUUAAAAUUCGUUAUACUCAAACUUUAUUCGAGGAUGUUACAUCAGAUACUGAACAGGAACAAAUCCAAGAACAUCAGCGAGCUCAUGGAUAUAGCCGUGAAAGAAAGCUCAAAUUCUACGCAAAUUCUACUUCCUAAGAAUACAUCCAAAAAUUGAACAGCUCGUAAAAAAAUUUCAACUUAUCGUGCACAGAAAUACGAUAGACAUCCAACAAAAAUGCAGAUUCCGCUGACCCCCAUUCCACAGUCUCCAAUCGAAAUAGUUCAUGUCGACAAUUACUCAACGGAAAAAAAUUAACUCUUACCGCCAUUGACAAAUUUUCUAAAUAUGCCCAUGUGAAAGUGAUAACUUCCAGAGCAAUAGAGCACAUUACAGACCCAAUCAGAGAAUUAAUGAUCGUGUUCGGAAUACCAAAAUUUGUAACAAUUAACAACGAAAAAUCUCUUAAAUACGCUUCAACCUCAUCCUUAUUCAAAGAUCAAAUGACCAUUGACCUUUACACCACACCGCCUUACAAUAGCACAAGUAAGGGACAAGUAGAAAGCUUUCACAAUGUACUUUCCGAAAUCAUGAGAUGCCUGAAAGCAAAUCAAAGGGCGAGGACAUUUCAAGAACUUCUAUUCAAAUCAGUACAAGAAUACAACUCCUCAAUACAUUCAACGACAAAAACGGCCCAAUGUUAAAACUGUCAAAAAUAUGGACACACAAAAAACUUCUGCUCCAAAAUCUCAAUAUGCGUUAAAUGCGCAGGAGAACACAAAACCAGCGAAUGCAAAUUAAAUAUGGAUAGCAGUAAGAUUAAAUGCGCUCUUUGCGGAGAAAAUCAUCAAGCGUCUCCAAGUACUAAGACCAAAAAGCACAACAUUAAAUGCCGAUGAGCUUCCAAAGUAAGCACUAAAAGAAAGCACCAAAAUCUUCACUUGCAAAUGGUAACACCAAAUAAGACAUUUGCACAGGUAGUAGCCACGAAAACUGACUCUUCGCCCACAAAUAACGAACUCAACGAAAUUAAAACAAUGAUGAAGCAACUAACAUCCCAAAUGUCAAACAUGAUGACUAUUAUGACCCUGCUUCUUUCGAAAAUAGAUGGACAAAAUAAAUAAUCUGAAACUAGCUCUAUGGAAUGCAAAUGGCCUUGGUCAGCGCGUCUUGAAAUUUAAAAUUUUCUAAGAAAAAUUGAAAAUAGAAUAGACAUCCUAUUAGUUUCAGAAACACACUUUACAGAAAAGAGCUACAUACAAAUUCUAGACUACAAUAUAUUUUUCACCAAUCAUUCGGACAAAAAGGUACAUGGGGGCUCAGCUAUCAUAUUACGAAAAGCAGUCAAAUGUGUUGUAAUAGAACCGUACAAAAAAGAUAACAUCCAAGCUACAUCUGUCCAAAUUGAAGACCAAAUCGGGCCUCUGAUGAUAUCAGCUGCAUAUUGUCCACCGAAACACAACAACUCGACGACGCAAUACUUCGAUUAUCUCACAACUCUCGGCAGCAAGUUUAUUUGCGGAGGUGACUAUAACGCAAAAAACACAGCAUGGGGAUCAAGACUAACAAACAUCAAAGGAAAAAAAAUCUAAUGGAUGCAAUACAAAAAAGUACAAGUGACUACAUAAGUGCAGGUGACUACCUACUGGCCUACCGAUAUGAAUAAAAACCCAGAUCUUAUCGACUUCUUUAUGUAAAAAGGUGUAUAUAGAAAUCACUUCACAAUUAAACCUAACUUCGACUUGUCGUCAGAUCAUUCACUAAUAUUUUUAUGGUAUCAAACAACUCUUGAGUCCCAAGUACAUUUCUCAAAAUUAUACAACAAAAACACAGACUGGGAAAUUUUCCGAGAAACUAUUAAAAACGCAAUUGACUGCAAUGUACCACUUAAAACUGAAGAACAAAUCGGCGGCGCUUCUGCGUUUCUCACCAAUGCAAUCAUUCACGCAAUAGCCUUAUCAACACCAACAGUCAAACACACAACCAAAAGAAAAUAUAUUGCGGACUAUAUUAGACAGAAGAUAAAACUAAAAAAAAAGUAAGGAAACAAUGGCAAACAACAAGACAUCCAGACGAUAAAACAAUCUUAAACAAAAUGACUAAUGAUAUUAAACAGAUGUUAAAGGAGUUUGAAAAUAAAAAGCUACAAUCGUAUCUGGCAAGUUUAGACUCUACAAAAAAUGACCAAUUCUCACUAUGCAAAGAGACGAAGAGCAUUAAUAAAACAACAAUUCACCAACAUGCAAUUCUUACCGAAAAUAGUAGGUGGGCUAAAACACAUUUGGAUAAAGCUUGCAAACUUGCGAAACACUUCAAAAAUACCUUCUACAAUCCAAAAAAUAGGCAACAAAAUAACUUCCCUGUUACGUUUGAAUUCAAAGAUGGGAAAAUCAGAAAAGGAACCAUACAUGAAAUACUGACAAAAAUUAAGAAUAUAAACAUCAAAAAAUCUCCAGGCUACGACAAAAGUAAUGGACAAACUAUAAAUAAUCUACCCGACAAUGGAAUUAAUUAUCUAAGGAAUAUAUUUAACUCGUCAAUAAGACUCAAAUAUUUCCCUUUACCUUGGAAAGUUUCUGAAAUAAUUUAAAUCAAAUAAAGAUGCCAAAAAGCCAUUAUUAUACAGACCGAUAAGUCUCUUGCCUAUUUUGUCGAAGCUAUUUGAAUGAAUGACCGCCUUGAUCCCCUAAUAUUAUACAAUCUAACGAUACAACAGGUACACAGAGUAACAAACAAAAUACAAAAUGAAAUUGACAACAAAAAUUAUUGCAGUCUAUCUUGACGUGGCUAAGGCCUUUGACAUCCCGGCAUCCCGGAAUAUUGCACAAAAUAAAAAAAAAUACUUCCAACUAACUAUUAUCUACUUUUGCGGAGUUGCCUUAAUGAAAGAUAUUUUUAUGUUAAAUAUCAAGACGAAUGCUCUGAUGCACUACGUAUGGAAGCAGAUGCUCCACAAGGAAGCGUUUCGGGGCCACUCUUAUACAUUAUCUAUACACAUGAUGUACCCGGCCCAAGUGACGAUAGGAUGAUUGCAGCUUUUGCCGAUGACACCGUUUUAAUGGCCUCUAAUAAAAACAUAAAUGUUGCCAAAAUAAGCUACAAAAGCUACUUAACACAACGCUGGCCGGGGCUCGAAGCAUCACAUUCGCGAACGUACCACUCGUCACUGAGAAAUGCAUAUUUCGGAGUUUGGCGUACGUGAACGUACCUUCUUAUUGUAGUUUCGUAUCAUGACAAUUGUGAACGAGUGCUGAACGUACUCGAUUGAUCAUACUGUCAUUCGAACACCGACAGCCGCUCGUAAACGACCAAAUUACAGCAAAGAUGACGAAUUUUAAUAAACUCAACCCCACCCAAAAAGAUCUGAUGGCGGAGUAUAUGGCCAACAACCCCGGCUUGGCAAAAAACCAACUGCCGAUUACCGCGCAAGGCAAAUAUACGACAGGUAGACUGUGGGAGGAGCUGGCAGCGAAAUUGAAUGCUAUUGGGCCCUCAGUUAAAGAUGCCAAGAUGUAGAGGAAGGUGUUUGCUGAUCAGAAGUAUCAGGCAAAAAAAAGCUUUCUUUCAACAAGGCUUCUAAACAGCGGACUGGUGGAGGACCUUUACCGAAAAGGUGAUUACUGCCAGACAGCAGUGAAUGCAAUGAGGAGGAGGCAAACUCUUGUCACAGCUCCUUACCAGGCCCAUCAAUAUACACUCCUGUCCGCACCAAAACUCCGCGAAGCAGAACACCGGGGAAAAAGAGUGGAAGUGACGAGAAGCUGGCGUUGCUCCAAGAAAAUUUUAAAUCUAUGCAUGAGUUCCAAAGGAGUUUGGACUCAAAAUUGGACAGACUGGUUCUAGCGCAAGAGAGAAUGUUGGCAAUAAAAGAGGAGAAACAUAGCAUCCAGCAAGCAACGCGCGAGAUUGACCUUGAAAUUAAAAGACUGCAACUAGAAGCCCUACGCGACAGCCUAGGGAAAUAAGUACCUGUUAUUUUAUAUUUUAGUUUUAAGUAUUUAUUGGGGAUUUUUUUUAUUUUAUAAGGUUUUGGAUUUUAUGUGAUUUACUUUAGUAUUCUUUAGUAUUUAAGUAUU
Molecule: long non-coding RNA, 4591 nt
Organism: Anastrepha ludens (Mexican fruit fly)
Lineage: Eukaryota; Metazoa; Arthropoda; Insecta; Diptera; Tephritidae
Exons: 3
Source: RefSeq, a predicted model, not a curated record